GAUGGAGGCGCGUAGCCUAACGGAUGCAUGUGGCCUAGGGAGCAUGGGGCUCUAGUGGGCACAUGGCCUAAUGGGCACAUAGCCUUGGGAGCACGGGGCUCUGUAGUUGGUGGAGUCAUCUGUUCUAGGGGGCACAUGGCCGGAACAUAUGGUAGACUUGUCGCUAUGCUGUAGUGAGCAUGAUGUGUCGAGAUGCUUCAGUGAGCAUGGAGGGACCCUGCUGAUGAGCUGGAGAUCGUGGACUGAGCCAGUAAGUAGAGUUCUAGACUGAUACCACUCAAAUUACCCUAAGGACUGAUUUAUACUCUCUCAAAUAAGAGGUUGAGUUGUAGUACUUUGGGAUCGAAUUCACAAGGAGCUAGGGAACCUAGGAAAUCUAAUAUGAUUUGUUAAGCAAGAUG
This 401-nucleotide long non-coding RNA is filed under the name Brassica napus (rape). RNAcentral's name for it is "long non-coding RNA (BNAP_LNC015365)". The record is from RNAcentral. Lineage: Eukaryota; Viridiplantae; Streptophyta; Magnoliopsida; Brassicales; Brassicaceae.